This 119-nucleotide ribosomal RNA is filed under the name Chinchilla lanigera (long-tailed chinchilla). Lineage: Eukaryota; Metazoa; Chordata; Mammalia; Rodentia; Chinchillidae. The record is from RNAcentral.
GUCUACGGCCAUACCACCCUGAACACGCCUGAUCUUGUCUGAUCUCAGAAGCUAAGCAGGGUCGGGCCUGGUUAGUACUUGGAUGGGAGACAAUACAAAAUUGAGGCCUUACGUAGUAA